UAGGGAAUCUUCCGCAAUGGACGCAAGUCUGACGGAGCAACGCCGCGUGAGUGAAGAAGGAUUUCGGUUCGUAAAACUCUGUUGUCAGAGAAGAACAGCGCAUAGAGUAACUGUUAUGCGUGUGACGGUAUCUAACCAGAAAGCCACGGCUAACUACGUGCCAGCAGCCGCGGUAAUACGUAGGUGGCAAGCGUUGUCCGGAUUUAUUGGGCGUAAAGCGAGCGCAGGCGGUUAGAUAAGUCUGAAGUUAAAGGCAGUGGCUCAACCAUUGUAGGCUUUGGAAACUGUUUAACUUGAGUGCAGAAGGGGAGAGUGGAAUUCCAUGUGUAGCGGUGAAAUGCGUAGAUAUAUGGAGGAACACCGGUGGCGAAAGCGGCUCUCUGGUCUGUAACUGACGCUGAGGCUCGAAAGCGUGGGGAGCGAACAGG
This 428-nucleotide ribosomal RNA is filed under the name Bacteroidota bacterium. RNAcentral's name for it is "Bacteroidetes bacterium partial 16S ribosomal RNA". It matches the Rfam family "Bacterial small subunit ribosomal RNA", at positions 355 to 776 of the family's 1533-position model. The record is from RNAcentral. Lineage: Bacteria; Pseudomonadati; Bacteroidota.